RNAcentral lists this transfer RNA (76 nucleotides) under Syntrophus sp. (in: bacteria). Its description in RNAcentral is "Syntrophus sp. (in: Bacteria) tRNA-Ala". It matches the Rfam family "tRNA". From Rfam's summary of the family: Transfer RNA (tRNA) molecules are approximately 80 nucleotides in length. Their secondary structure includes four short double-helical elements and three loops (D, anti-codon, and T loops). Further hydrogen bonds mediate the characteristic L-shaped molecular structure. tRNAs have two regions of fundamental functional importance: the anti-codon, which is responsible for specific mRNA codon recognition, and the 3' end, to which the tRNAs corresponding amino acid is attached (by aminoacyl-tRNA synthetases). tRNAs cope with the degeneracy of the genetic code in two manners: having more than one tRNA (with a specific anti-codon) for a particular amino acid; and 'wobble' base-pairing, i.e. permitting non-standard base-pairing at the 3rd anti-codon position. The record is from RNAcentral. RNAcentral also lists the same sequence under 3 other names. Lineage: Bacteria; Pseudomonadati; Thermodesulfobacteriota; Syntrophia; Syntrophales; Syntrophaceae.
GGGGUUGUAGCUCAGUUGGGAGAGCGCUUGAAUGGCAUUCAAGAGGUCGUCGGUUCGAUCCCGACCAGCUCCACCA